Xenopus laevis (African clawed frog) is the source of this 1826-nucleotide long non-coding RNA. RefSeq lists it as uncharacterized. The transcript is spliced from 3 exons. The record is from RefSeq and is a predicted model, not a curated record. NCBI's taxonomy places the organism in Eukaryota, Metazoa, Chordata, Amphibia, Anura, Pipidae.
CUUCCAUAAAGCCUGAGCUCCACCAUGCAGCACCUGGAUUUUAGGAGAUAACCAAGCACUUGAACAACGUCCUACUGGGCUGUGCAAUGCCGUUGCUGCAAGACAUGAAGGAGGAUGCUUUCUUGUCUAUCCACUCACUGUUUAUACCAACCACAUGCUGCUGGGUUGAGUUUAGUCUUCUAUGAAUAAAGAUAAUGAAGGCAAGCUCAAAUUUCAGCCUUUGGAAUCCUCUCAAAAUGAUGGUGUCAGACUUUUCUGUGUAUCUUCCCAAAGGCAUACUACCCACAAAAUAUAACGUUUACGUCUGAAAAUGUUUCCACAGCUGACUUUGUUAAAUAUUUCACUGACCAUAAAGAAUUUCCCAUAACUGCUUCAGAAAAGAUCAUCUAAACUAUGGUAGGAAUGAAAUUCAUGGGAGAUAUGGCAUGGUUGGAAUGAAUGAAAUUUUAUAGAAAGCUCCUACCCAAAUAUCAUGUUGGGACCAGUAGCAAGGGGACAGGUGUCUUAGGAAAUAGUGAACGUGGUGUAAUCUUGUAAAAAAGACUUACUUUUCAAAAGUGUUUUCUGUUUUCAUUCAUGAGUUGAUUUCCUGGAAUGACGUUUGGAUCAACUUACUUCCUGUCACAAAUGGUAUAGACUUACAUGAUUCCAACUUCUGGUUUUGUAGCAUUGAAAUUUUGAUGGUUGUAGAUGUAUAUUCAUCAUGGGUAGUUUAAUGUUCAACAGAACUGAUUGCCUUGUAUUGGCUAGAGUCCAUUUUGCCAAUUAACUGCACUUUACAAAAUAGGUUUUGCAAUCAGAGCGCUUGUAGGGGUGCACAGGCUCUUCCAAACUGAAGUGCUUGCUGAAGUUCUUAGAAGUUCUCAAUCUUUUUCAUUGAAAGAAUACGUUCUCACUAAAAUGUGUUUUGAUAUUCAGUGGACAUGGCAAAAACACAGAAACAGUAUCAGUUCAGACGGGGUCCAGGAUCAUGCAGGUUCCACAAUCUGAAAGUAAUAUAAUCAUGAAGAUUAGGGAUGUUCAACCUGCAAUCCUCCUGCUGCUGUUAAUGUCUGUAUCUCCUCUGGUUCUAGGUGGGAACUGGAAGCUUUAGUUUAACAGAUGCUGUCCUUCCAUGAUGUACUUUAUACAUAUUGAAAACAUCUAGAUAACAUCAUGCUUUUUGUGGUUAUUAUACAGUAACAGGUAUUUCAUUUAAAGUAGAAGGGAAAAUUGAAGCAAAGAAGACUUUAAAGUAGAAGGAAAGGCAUAAUCUGGUACCAGUGUGUUGUGCACUCCGUCCUAGUGAUUAUAAUAGCUCCAGCUUGGGCUACUAUCCUAGUGAAGGCUGAUCCACCAUCUUUGUUCUUUCCCUUCAAUCAUUGCUGCUGCCUGAAAAUGAUGUGCAAUAGAGUGCAGCAGCAGAAGGCAUCCCUGGGAGAGUGCGGGCCUGGGGUUAGCUAUUAUUAUCCCUGUGGGGGCCUAACAAGUUGGAGCACCUAGUGGUUAGCACUUUUUUUCUCUUUAUCUGUUUGUUUUUAAAUUCAAAAUUGUUAUCUUGCGUCGUUCAAGCCAAAUAGCACAGAAACAUAUAGUACACAACGGCCAUAUUUCCCUUUUUUUCCUUUAAAUUUCCGGGAAGGUCCCCUGUUUACAAUACCCACAUUGCAGGCAACCACAUGCAUAACUCAUAUUUCACGUACUGCAUUGAUUAUAAUAUGUUUGCUGAAUAAAAAUCAGAAUUGAGGUAUACCAUGUUUGUGCUCCCUUCUUACAUGCAAGGCUAAAAUGUAAAUGUGCUGGGCUGGCUGCAGAUCGCCUGCUGGUGCUAUCAAUUAUUAAAGGCU